AAGGGUCCUGGUUCCUUACUGGGAACGCUGGACCUUACUGGGAGCACUGGGAAGGGUCCUGGUCCCUUACUGGGAGCACUGGGAAGCAUCUCAAACUCACAGCACCCACAACAAGAUCCUCAGUGCCUCCCUGAGUCCCCUUUAAGACCCCCCAACCUCCUUCCUUUCCCCCC
RNAcentral lists this long non-coding RNA (173 nucleotides) under Phasianus colchicus (ring-necked pheasant). Its description in RNAcentral is "lncRNA (ENSPCLG00000014246.1)". The record is from RNAcentral. Lineage: Eukaryota; Metazoa; Chordata; Aves; Galliformes; Phasianidae.